UAUUUGAAUUUCGCUCAAGAGUAAAGUACUUUUUUUCGUAAAAUGAAUAACAAAAAAGUUUUUCAUAUGUUGCCAACUUAAAUAGACACGUUGUAUGUGGCCACAAAGUACAGAACGCAUCAACGCGUUUAUUAAUUAUUCGAGUUUAUAAAUAUUAUAAGAGCUCUGGUACAAUAUUUAUAGCAGGUGCAUAAGAAAGUUUGUUUAUUCGUAUAUAGGAAUCGGUCUGACAGCUAUUAUAAACAUUCUUCCAACUAAACAUACCCAGUUACAAGAGCUAACAUGUGUUAGCAAAUAUUUAAUGCUUGUAUCAACCUUCUACCAUUACUAAUGAAACUUGCUAGAAAUAUAUACUAAAGAUAUUAUAAAGGUAGAAAUUUAAGUCAAAUUGUGCGCGCUUAAAAUGAAAACUAAUAUUCACACAUAAAUAUACAGCGUGUCUGCUUAAGUUGACCACAUAAUGUGAACUUUUUUAUUAUUAAUUUUACGAACAAAAGUCAUUUUUUAUACAAAUUUCUGCAUACAAACCUAAUAUCCAACCAUCAGAUAAAAUUUUAUUAAUCCUAUACGAGGUAUGUCAACAUAUUUGAAUUUCGCUCAAGAGUAAAGUACUUUUUUUUCGUAAAAUGAAUAACAAGAAAGUUUUUCAUAUGUUGCCAACUUAAGUAGACACGUUGUAUGUGGCCACAAAUUACAGAACGCAUCAACGCGUUUAUUAAUUAUUCGAGCUUAUAAAUAUUAUAAGAGUUCUGGUACAAUAUUUAUCGCAGGUGCAUAAGAAAGUUUGUUUAUUCGUAUAUAGGAAUCGGUCUGACAGCUAUUAUAAACAUUCUUUCAACUAAACAAACCCAGUUACAAGAGCUAACAUGUGUCAGCAAAUAUUUAAUGCUUGUAUCAACCUUCUACCAUUACCAAUGAAACUUGCUAGAAAUAUAUACUAAAGAUAUUAUAAAGGUAGAAAUUUAAGUCAAACUGUGUGCGCGCUUAAAAUGAAAACUAAUAUUCACACAGAAAUAUACAGCGUGUCUGCUAAGUUGACCACAUAAUGGGAACUUUUUUAUUAUUAAUUUUACGAACAAAUGUUAUUCUUUAUACAAAUUUCUGCAUACAAACCUAAUAUCCAACCAUCAGAUAAAAUUUUAUUAAUCCUAUACGAGGUAUGUCAACAUAUUUGAAUUUCGCUCAAGAGUAAAAUUUAUAAUAAAAAAGUUUUUUAUAUGUUGCCAACUUAAGUAGACACGUUGUAUGUGGCCACAAAUUACAGAACGCAUCAACGCGUUUAUUAAUUAUUCGAGCUUAUAAAUAUUAUAAGAGCUCUGGUACAAUAUUCAUCCCAGGUGCAUAAGAAAUUUUGUUUAUUCGUUAUGUGUUACAUGUUUUUGUUAAAUUUUGUAUAUGUAACUCAAAGAAAACAUCUUGAUUUUUAUACUAUUAGAAAUACUGAUAUAUUUAAUUAAAUUAUUAAAAAUAAAAUUAGAAAAUAACUUCAUAGGUAUUCUUUAAAUAAUUUCGUCGUUUAUUCUAGUGAUAUGUUUCUGGGCUAACUUGGAGUUGUAAUCGUGUAAUAUUGUCAAUAGUACAUUAUUUCACGGUUUUUGCUUUAAAUUUUAAAUAACCCCUUGGAUUGACAUUAAAUUUGGCAUACGCAUAGCUUACAUAUCAAAGAAAAAAAGUGAUAUUGUGCCGAUGUGUGCUUUUGCCCUGGAAGUGACUUUCACCCCCCAUUGGGGGUGAAAAAAUAUAUGUCCAAAAUAAGUCAGAAAAUGGAUAAACUGACUAAUUUUAAGUAGCUUUUGUUCUAUAGAGCUUGUGCGCCAAGUCAACACUUUUCGAGUUAUUUGCGAGUGAAUAUGUUCAUUUUUCAACAAAAUAUCCUAAAAAUUAAGCACUUUUUGGGGAAAAUCAAUUAUAACUUUUUUAAAGUGCUUAAAAAAAGCUGUAUUUCUGUUUUUAUAAAAAGUUCCUAGAAUCAAAUUUAAGCAAGUUACGCUCAAAAUAAAGUUGGUCCCUUUGGUUUUGGCAAAAAAAAUUGGGAAGACCACCCCCUAAUUAGCAACUUAAAUGAAAUUAAUCGUUACCGCUCCACGAAUUGUUUUACUUAUGUUGUGUUUAUAUGAUCUGUAAGUUUUAUCGAUUCAAAGUGCUUAUUUUUGAAAAAAUCUGGUUUUAAAGUAAAAUUUUAAAAAAUUUAAAUUUUAAAAUAUAUGCUUUUUUAGGAAAAAUAUCAAUUUUUUAUGAAAAAUAUCCAUUUCUGGACUUCCUUUGGACGUAUAUUUCUUCACCUCCAAGAGGGAGUGAAAACCACCCCAGAGCAAAAGCACACAUCGGCACAAUAUCACUUUUUUUCUGUGACUUGUUAGCUAUGGGUGUGCCAAAUUUCAUGUCAAUCCAAGCGGUUCUUUAAAAUUUAGAGGUUUUGCAAUAUUUUACCGUUAAAGAACGUACUACAACCCAUAUAUCAAUGUUAUUAAAAAUAGUAGUUAUUGUUGACACUACAGCUCAUUGAUUAUACAUGGAAUGUUAUGUAGGUACAGAGAGUGACUAAAUUUUUGCAGACAAAAUAAAAGGAAUUUUAUACAUAUUGUGUAACAAUUUUAGGAUUAUUUAUCCAUAGUUUUACCAGAAUUAUCCAUAUUAUUUUUUCUGUUUAAUAUGUUGUUAAAUAUCUUCCUAUCUAAAUUCUCUUUCAGAUUAUUGUUUUGUACCUUUGACUUUUUUUGUUAACAUCGAUUAGGUAGUGGUUAUUUUUUUCUUAACUAUGUUCUAUUUAUUUACAUAGACUUUCUUUUAUACCAUUUUACAUGUUACCUUCUCUGUUCUUUUCUAAUAUAGUGGUAAUCUUAUAAUAAUAGUAUUAAGUUUUAAGCCCCCCUGUUGUCAUUCGUUAUACUGUUGUUAAUUUUCUUUGAAUUAUAUAAUAUCUCCAUCUUUCUUAGUUGUUUUUAAAUAUUCUUAUAUUCCAUAUUUCAUUUAUGUCCACAUAAUAUCUUAGUGUUAAUCUAAAUAAUAGUCACUACAUUAUAAUUUCAUAAAAUACCAAGUCAAUUAAGUUCCUUGUUUAUAAUUCUUGGGUAAGUUUAUGUAAAUCUUAUGGAACGUAUAAUAUCACAUUAAUGGGAAUUGUAACAUACGACAAAAAUGUGACGAUGAAAAUUAUAACGCAUUAUAACGCAAGUCAUCAACAGGAUAAUAAUAGAUUUAUAUGUUAUCAUUGACUUGACUUGAUUAGCAAUAACGAAUAGAAACAGCACGUGCCUUAUACAGUGCACUGGAAUAAAUGUUACCCCCCCCCUUAUUAACUUAUUUAUUUUUAGCACAUAAGCAAAACGCUCGGAUAGGUCGAUUUUUAAAAUAAUCAUAGUAUAUUAUAGCAUCAAUGUUUCGAAAUUUACGCGAUGCCUCUUCAGGUGACAGGCAUAACUUUGAUUUUUUUUAAAUGGGACAUCAUGUGACACCUUAUUUAAAAAGCGUUUGAAAUACAGAUUACAAAAAUGUAUAAUACUUAGUUCUGGUUUGAGAGUGUAGGCGCAAAAUUUCGGUCGAAUUCUUUUAAAGGCAUUUAUUUCUUUCGAAUUCUGAGAAAACUAAUAUGUAUUUUUGAAAAAAUUAAACGCAUAAUGAACUAUUACAGUAUUGUUAAUGGUCUUAAGUCCCUGACAACUUCUAUAAUGUUUAUUUUAAUAAGUCACAGGGGUGAAAAAAAGGGAAAAUUUAGUCUGAUUUUUAAUUUCAAAUAUAUCAUUCAAAAGAAACUUUUUGUUUAUUCUAAGGGACUUUUUCCCCUCGGUAAUAUUGUUAUCUUUCAUUUUGCGUUUAAAUUUUUCAAAAAUUCUUACUAGUUUUCUCAGAAUUCGAAAGAAAUAUAUGCGUUUAAAAAGAAUUCGACGAAAAGUUUGCGCCUACGCACUCAAAAAGGAUUAAAGUAUUAUACAUUUGAUGUACUUUCAUUUUUUUUUACAUUUUGAUGAUAAAUGAGAUGUCACAUGAUGUACUUUUCCACUAAAAAAAUCCAAGUUAUGCCUGUCACCUGAAGAGGGGUCGCGUAAAGUUGGAAACAUUGAUGCUAUAAUAUACUAUGAUUAUUUUAAAAAUCGACCUGUCCGAGCGUUUUGGAUAUGUGCUAAAAAUAAAUAAGUAAAUAAGGGGGGUAACACUUAUUCCAGCGCACUGUAUACAGGGAGUUUGGUAAAGAAUGGGCCAUAGCUUAACCUCAGAUUCCUGAGCUUAAAAUAGGUCGAUUUAAGCUAACUUACUUAAGUACGAAAGUUGAUAAUAGCCGAAAUACAGGGUGUCAAAGUUAAACUUUUAUUUUAUUUAUUUUUGAAUAUUUUCUGACAGGUAUGGGAUAACAACACGAAAUUUGGUAAGCGGGGUUUUUUUGGACCGAGAAAUCAAAAUUGGCCACCAAAAAUGAUGUAUUACCCAGAGGUCGCCACAUUCGUCUUUCAGCGCUCAUCUAAGACGUUCAAUUUUUUUUAUUCCCCACUCUACAUACUUUUUAAUCAAAACUUUUAUUCUCUUAAUAUUUUUACUUAAAAAAGCUAUACUACAUUCAUCUCGCUAAACUCAAGAGUUUUCAAGAUAAACGCAGUUUAAGAUAACGCGAUGCAACAUAAUUUUUUGCAUAAUAUCAUUGUAGUUACACCCGAGAAAUAAACUAAAAACCAUAAUAAUUUCCAAAAAUGUAUCGCAAAUUCCUUUAAAUGGGGUUUGGGAUUCAAUGACAUAAAUAUGAGAAAUUGCACAAUUAUUAUGGUUUUAAGUUUAUUUUUCCGGUAUAACUACAAUGAUAUGCGAUUAUCUCGAAAACAGUUGAGUUUAACGAGAUGAAUGUAGUAUACCUUUUUUAAGUAAAAAUAUUAAGAGAAUAAAAGUUUGGAUUCAAAAAGUAUGUACACCGAGAGAAAAAAAUUCUUGACAUAAAGAAACUUUAUUUAUAUUUAAGAAAGAUCGACUUGGCAUAUUGCCUAAGAAAUAUAUUUUCGUAUGUAAUAUAUAAUUUUCUAAAAUAUUUCAAAUAAAUUUUACUAUAGCCAAAGAAAUAUAUCUUAAACAUGAUUGAACUAUCAGUUUCUGGCUAACUUCAAACCCAUUUAUCAGAAAGAAAUUAAACUUGAUGUUAAUUAAUUUUAUUAGUCAUAAAAAUAUAUUUUCUUGACAUUACAAAAUUAUUCUUUCUGAGCAAUAAUAUUUCUUAGUAAGGAAUAUUAUUAUGUUACUAUUAAUAAUUAAUAUAUUUCGCAGAUAUAAACGUAUAUUUAGAGUUAAGUUAAUAUUUCUUGAAAAUAAAGUGAUAUUAAAUACGUCGAAAUUGUGUUAUGGUAAAAUUAUUAUUUAUUAAUAAAAACAAGAUAUAAAACGUUAUUAUUACAUACAAAUAUUUUCUCCAUUCUUAAACCACUGGCUUCUACACAACAAUAAAAGGAUGGAGAGGCAAAUCCAACUUCCUCAAAUUUUCCUUCUUUUGUUAAUAGCACUUUGUAUAUCAGCAAUUCACUAAAACAAAAUCGUUAUGUAGAAAGAAUAAACUUACUUUAAUAAAAAUUUUUUUUAUAAAGAUAUAGAUAUUUAUUUUGACAAAUUUAGGAAAUACAAAAAAAACAAAUAUACGGCCCCACAUAAAAACUAUUAAUAAGUACUAAUAAUAAUCAAUCAUAUUUAGUUUAAACAUGGCAUUAUUUAACCUACAUAUCUUUGUUACUAUUUAUCUGUAUAUUUAAGUCACACAAUAAACAUUGUUUAGCUAAAACAAGAGGGAAAAUACAACCAAUGUAAAACAAUGAAGCAGACAUAAUAAUAUGUAAUUUUCUUUAUUUUUAUAAUCUAAAAGAGACAACAUACCCAAUCAUUAAGAAAUUUUAUUACGGGAAAGUAUUACUAGUUUACAUCUUAAGUCAUUUAAUACAUAUUAACUAAUUCACGGUUUUCGGCAAUAACAUUUCUUAGCCAUAAACAUAUUUCUUUUAGGAUAACUGAUUUCUUUAUCUCAAAUAAAUGAACAGACAACAUCCUGAGCGUUGCACCCGCCAUGUUUGAUAUAGCGUUGUAUUGUAUAUUUUUAUAGAAGACGAUACAUGCAAGAAACCUAUUAUAGUUGAUACAUAAGUAUACAUAUUUUUAAAAAGGUACUUACAUGUAUAAAGUUCUACCAUUUCUGGAAGGCCCCCCAGUCGGUUAAUAACUCCUUUCUUAAUAUUGUUCUGAGGCUAUAUAUUAUAUCAUUCUGUUCCAGCUUUAAAUUGUGGCUUAUUUCCCAGUUAGAAUAAUAAGCUCCUUUAUUUCAGAGUUGUCCAUCAUUAUACCUAAAAAGCAUAUAAAGUUACUAUUAUGUUUCUUUUAUAACCAUUCGGAUACGCAACAUUAUUAUUAUUACAUCUUAGAUUACUCAAUUUACUUUUAUUUAAUACCUAUAUAUGUACGUACCUUCAAAAUAUCCGUUAAUUUUUAAAGAACACCGAUAAAUCCUAAAUCCAUCUAUAUGAACAUGAACAUAUCACGCCAUCUUGACAAACACUGACGACUAAAUCAUAAAUAGUUAAUCUGCGCAAUUCUUUUGUGGAAGAAAAUCUAUUUGCAAGUAACAUUUCGGCAUUAAUGAUAAAGUUUUUAUUUUAUAACCACAGUUACUACAGAGGGUAUUUCUGAAGAAUUAUUUCUUGCGGUUUAAAAUAUUUAUUUGAUUGCAAGAAAAUUUCUUGUUCACAAAUAUAAAUAUGGAUUAACUAACAUUAUAUUUCUUAUACUUCAAAAUAUUUGUAGUUUUCAAUUUAAAAAAUAAAAACUUUAGGAUAAGAAAACUAAAUGUAACCAUUAAUGCAUUUCUUAGUAUUGAAGAAAUUAUCUGUAAGAAAUUAUUGAGUUGUGUUUAAAAAACUCGUUUUUUAUAUGUGAACCGGUAUGUUUAAUUUUUAAGAAAUGUUAACUUUUGGAUAAUGUUUGGAUAAAUAUUUUAAGGAUAUGUUAACUUUUAAAAAAUAUUGCUCAAAGAAAUCGGUGUUUUAGGAGAGAAGAAAUUGUUCUCUUGGUGUAGAGUAUGUAGUAAUUUAACGUAUUAAAUGAGCGCUGAAAGACGUAACUGGAGCCCUCUGAGUAAUACAUUAUUUUUGGUGGGAAUUUAGAUUUCUCGUCCCAAAAUACCCCCGACUACCAAAUUUCGUGUUGUUAUCCCAUGCCUGUCAGAAAAUAUUCAAGAAUAAAUAAAAUAAAAGUUUAACUUUGACACCGUGUAUUUCGGUUAUUAUCAACUUUCGUACUAAGGUAAGUUAGCUUAAAUUGACCUAUUUUAACCUCAGGAAUCUAAGGUUAAGCUAUGGCCCAUUAUUUACCAAACACCCUGUAUACGAAAGAUGAAGUAGUUUUCAAUCCUAAUAGCAAUAUUAAUAAUAUUUAAAAAUAUUAAAAUAUUACUAAAAGAUUUUUAAAUUGAAAACUUAUUGGUAAAUUUUCUUGGUAACACCUCCAAGGCUUCUAAAAUUUGCAAGCCAGAUGGAUGCUAAAGCGAAGAAGACAAGAGGGAAUUCAAAAACUUACAAUUCACGACCCGUCUGUUCAGCUGGUCAAUUCCAACAGAAAAUGGACCUAGUUACUCAAAGAAGCAACGACCAAUAUAAAAAUAAAUAUAAAAAUUCCAUUUUUAUUCAGUUGCAAUGCGAAGCCAAAACAAUCUUAUUUUUAAAUUAGAAUACGGAGCGCAGCCCAGCCCUCUGAAUCGACGAUUUUCGAUUCUUGUUGGAGUCUCAUCGGAGAGAACGUAGGCCUGCUACUCCAUAUUCCAAUUGACCAACACCGAGAGUUUAUCCCCCACACCGCAACUGUCGUGAAUGGACUAGGUGACUAGCGUCAUCUGGCAAUUGAAAGAUGAAGUAGUUUUCAAUCCUACUAGCAAUAUUAAUAAUAUUUAAAAAUAUUAAAAUAUUACUAAAAGAUUUUUAAAUUGAAAACUUAUUGGUCCAUUUUCUUGGUAACACCUCCAAGGCUUCUAAAAUUUGCAAGCCAGAUGGAUGCUGAAGUGAAGAAGACAAGAGGGAAUUCAAAAACUUACAAUUCACGACCCCGUCUGUUCAGCUGGUAAAUUCCAACAGAAAAUGGACCUAGUUCCUCAAAGAAGUAACGACCGAUAUAAAAAUAUUUUAAUAAAUUUUAUUAUAUUUUAUUAUAUAUAAUAUUAUAUAUUUUAUUCUAUUUUAUUUAAAUAUUUAUAUUGGUCGUUACUUCUUUGAGUAACUAGGUCCAUUUUCUGUUGGAAUUUAUCAGCUGAACAGACAAGGUCGUGAAUUGUAAGUUUUUGAAUUCCCUCUUGUCUUCUUCGCUUCAGCAUCCAUCUGGCUUGCAAAUUUUAGAAGCCUUGGAGGUGUCACCAAGAAAAUUUACCAAUAAGUUUUCAAUUUGAAAAUCUUUUAGUAAUAUUUUAAUAUUUUUAAAUAUUAUUGAUAUUGCUAUUAGGAUUGAAAACUACUUCAUCUUUCAGUUGCCAGAUGACGCUAGUCACCUAGUCCAUUCACGACAGUUGCGGUGUGGUGGAUAAACUCUCGGUGUUGGUCAAUUGGAGUAUGGAGUAUCAGGCCUACGUUCUCUCCGAUGAGACUCCAACAAGAGUCGAAAAUCGUCGAUUCAGAGGGCUGGACUGCGCUCCGUAUUCUAAUUGAAAAAUAAGAUUGUUUUGCCUUCGCAUUGCAACUGAAUAAAAAUGGAAUUUUUAUAUUUAUUUUCACCCUGUAUAUGUUUAAGUAUGCAUGUGACGUGACUAAGCCAAAUUGAUGAAGUCUAAUAUUUUUUUCUGAGGCGCAUCUAUUAAUGGUUUAUAUUCUUGGAAAACUAUAAACCUGAGAGAUUUAUCAUGUGACAAGUAAACGACUGCUAGGUAAAAAUAAAAGGAGAGGGCAGAAAAAUAUAAAUAAAAACAAAGCAUGCCAAGAAAAGAGAUCCAGAAACCUAAAUCAUUGCUUCACAAAAGGAAUAAAUAAGGGUCGACAUUUUAUAAAAUAUAUCUAUCUACGAGAAAUAAAAGAAUAUAAUACAUAGAGAAACUGACUAACGAAAGAAAAAAUAGAAAGACUAUAGAGUAUUUUAUAGUACCUAUGAUUAUCCCAGUAGUAGUAGUAACAAGAACAACAAGAAUAAACAAAACAUUUUUUUUUUAAUUUUUGUCAGAACAGUUUUGUCAUUAUUUAUUACUUUUAAGCAUUAUUAUGUGGUUGCUCGGCUGAAAAGCAAAAACCGCUGUCUCCGUUAGGUUCCAUUUGCUUAGGAACAGAUAUCCAUAAUUUCCAUUUUUUGCUGCUGUUUUUGCCAUCUUUCUCAUGGCUGGGUUUUCCUUCCUUGCCAGUACGUUUUCAUUUUAAUUGAAUGUUUCUCUUUUCUUUCUUGUGGCCACUUGUUAGCGGGACGCUGUGCUGGAACAGUGAGAAAGAUAAGAUUCCUAGUAUUGUUCACGUUAUCCCUGAGAUCUUGACGACACUGAAGGCCACUAGGUGAAAUUUCCGUUGCAAUUCUUUUAACUUCCUUUAUUCAUUUUGAAUAACAUGAUAAUGAUUUGUAAAAAAAUUAAUUUUUAUGAUAUAAAGACAUAACUAUGAGCCUUACAAAGUAUUGUACGUGAUUGUUUAAUUUUGUUUCAUUAAUAGCAACUAGCAACAUUUGUAUUCCUAUUUAUUUACCACUUGUAAUGUUAACUAAUUUUCUUUAUAAUGUAUAUUAGUGAUUAGUUUGCAUUAAAUUAAUACAAUAGGAUUUCUUACAUAUGCAACGUGUUAGUUAAGAGCUUAUGGUUCUACACGAUGUGAUAGCUUAACGCAAACAAAGGUGCUGUACAAGAAGUAUUAUGUAUUUAGAUUUGUAUUAUAAUGUGUCUAUAUUUUUAGGUAAAAACUUAUAUUAAGUAAAAAAUAUGUUUAUAAAGAAAAUCGGUAAAAAAAUAAUAACAAAAUAAUUAUAUUUUUACUUAAAGUCCUUUAGAAAAUAUGUUAUUUAAUAAACACAUCUUUAAAUUUUAAUUAGGUACUUAUGUAUAUUUUUUGUAAAACAAUUAUGUAAGAAAAUAAUAAAAAUGUACUAAAUGGUUUCUUAAAAUAUAAAAUGUUAAUGUUGUUCUGAAGCUAUUUCCUUGUGGCAUUUUUCUAAUCAACUAUUUUAAAUGGGAAAUUUUGCUAAAAAAAUGGUUUUAAUAACAAAAUCCACAAGGAAAAGAAAAAGUUUUCCUGUAGUUGGCUGUAUACCAUCAAUCACAAAAUUGGAAAGAAAUCCUUUGUAAAAGGUAUAAAAUUUUUUAUUAAAAAUCCCUUAAAAGGGCUACAUCACCACAAAACGUUUUCGAUUUUUACAAAAAAUCAUCAUCAGCGUUCGAUAAACUGGAUGCUAGCUGAGCCACAAAAGAAAAAUAUCUUGGUAAAAACCCUUUACAUAAAAUAUAGAUGCCUUAAAAGUGCAUACUUCAAUAAAAAGGCCUGUGAUGGUCACAUGGCAAACAGGAUAAUGCCCUAAGGUAAAGUAUACAGGUUUCCCAACACGUGGGAUCCAAAUUGAGUUGAUCACAUUUCAAUGACUUAAUGGUCUUUUUAUUGAAGUAUGCACUUUUAAGGCAUCUAUAUUUUAUGUAAAGGGUUUUUACCCAGAUAUUUUUCUUUUGUGGCUCAGCUAGCAUCCAGUUUAUCGAACACUGAUGAUGAUUUUUUAUAAAAAUCGAAAACGUUUUGUUGUGAUGUAGCCCUUUUAAGGGAUUUUUAAUAAAAAAUUUUAUACCUUUUACAAAGGAUUUCUUUCCAAUUUUGGUUUUAAUAACGUUUGUUGGAUUCGAUCAUGAUUGAUCCUUAACAAAAACUAAAACUUGUUUGAGAUCAUUAUAACAAGAAAUAUAAAUAUAGAUGCAAUAGAAAACAGUUUGUUUGACGUUUUGAGUUAUGUACAGUUCGAAAAUUGUUACAUAUCCGAAUAGAUAACAUAUUCCCAGUGCAGAAAAUAUUUUUUUAAUAUUUGCGAUAUAUUUUUAAAAUAAACUUU
Molecule: long non-coding RNA, 10995 nt
Organism: Diabrotica virgifera virgifera (western corn rootworm)
Lineage: Eukaryota; Metazoa; Arthropoda; Insecta; Coleoptera; Chrysomelidae
Exons: 2
Source: RefSeq, a predicted model, not a curated record